AUACGUAGGGGGCGAGCGUUGUCCGGAAUGAUUGGGCGUAAAGGGCGCGUAGGCGGCCCGGUAAGUCUGGAGUGAAAGUCCUGUUUUUAAGAUGGGAAUUGCUUUGGAUACUGUCGGGCUUGAGUGCAGGAGAGGUAAGUGGAAUUCCCAGUGUAGCGGUGAAAUGCGUAGAGAUUGGGAGGAACACCAGUGGCGAAGGCGACUUACUGGACUGUAACUGACGCUGAGGCGCGAAAGUGUGGGGAGCAAACAGGAUUAGAUACCCUGGUAGUCCACACUGUAAACGAUGAAUGCUAGGUGUAGGGGGUAUCGACCCCUUCUGGGCCGCAGUUAACACAAUAAGUAUUCCGCCUGGGGAGUACGGCCGCAAGGUUGAAACUCAAAGGAAUUGACGGGG
This 397-nucleotide ribosomal RNA is filed under the name uncultured bacterium. RNAcentral describes it as "partial 16S ribosomal RNA". It matches the Rfam family "Bacterial small subunit ribosomal RNA", at positions 523 to 918 of the family's 1533-position model. The record is from RNAcentral.